GAUGAACACUAGCGGCGCGCUUAACGCAUGCAAGUCGAGCGAUGAGGCUCCCUUCGGGGAGUACAUCAGCGGCAGACGGGUGAGUAACACGUAGAUAACCUGCCCUCAAGACGGGGACAACCGGUGGAAACAGCGGCUAAUACCCGAUAUGCUCACAGGAUCGGGAGAUCGAGUGAGGAAAGCGCCCCUUCGGGGGAGAGUGUNUGAGGAGGGAUCUGCGGCCCAUCAGCUAGUUGGUGAGGUAACGGCUCACCAAGGCGAAGACGGGUAGGGGGUGUGAGAGCAUGGNCCCCCACAAUGGGACUGAGACACGGNCCAUAACUCCUACGGGAGGCAGCAGCGGGGAAUAUUGCGCAAUGGACGGAAGUCAGACGCAGCGACGCCGCGUGGGUGAGGAAGGCCUUCGGGUUGUAAAGCCCUUUUCAGGGGAGCGAGAAAGGACGGUACCCUUGGAAUAAGCGUCGGCUAACUACGUGCCAGCAGCCGCGGUAAGACGUAGGACGCAAGCGUUAUCCGGAUUUACUGGGCGUAAAGCGCCUGUAGGCGGUCAAGUAAGUCGGAUGUGAAAGCCCCGUGCUCAACGCGGGGAAGCCAUUCGAUACUGCGUGACUAGAGAACGGCAGAGGGGAAACGGAAUUUCUGGUGUAGCGGUAAUAUGCGCAGAGAUCCGAAAGAACACCGAUGGCGAAAGGCAGUUUUCCUAGGCCGCAUCUGACGCUGGAGAGGCGAAACUUGGGGGAUCAAACAGGUUUAGAGUCCCUGGUAGUCCUAGCUGGUAGACGAUGGAUGCUAGGUGUGGGCCGGAAAGGUCCGUGGCCGAAGUUAACGCGAUAAGCAAUCCGGCCUGGGGAGUACGACCGCAAGGCUAAAAGCUCAGACGAAUUGACGGGGACCCGCACAAGCAUCGGAGCGUGUGGUUUAAUUCGAUGCUACACGCAGAACCUUACCUGGGCUUGAC
This 958-nucleotide ribosomal RNA is filed under the name uncultured organism. Its description in RNAcentral is "bacterial SSU rRNA". It matches the Rfam family "Bacterial small subunit ribosomal RNA", at positions 28 to 985 of the family's 1533-position model. The record is from RNAcentral.